RNAcentral lists this ribosomal RNA (510 nucleotides) under uncultured Glomus. Its description in RNAcentral is "SSU rRNA". It matches the Rfam family "Eukaryotic small subunit ribosomal RNA", at positions 569 to 1081 of the family's 1831-position model. The record is from RNAcentral. Lineage: Eukaryota; Fungi; Glomeromycota; Glomeromycetes; Glomerales; Glomeraceae.
AGCAGCCGCGGUAAUUCCAGCUCCAAUAGCGUAUAUUAAAGUUGUUGCAGUUAAAAAGCUCGUAGUUGAAUUUCGGGAUCAGUAGGUCGGUCGUGCCACUGGUAUGAACUGGUCUCACUGGUUCCUCCCUCUUGACGAACUGCAACGCUAUUAAUUUAGUGUAGUAGGAAAUCAGGACUGUUACUUUGAAAAAAUUAGAGUGUUUAAAGCAGGCUUUAGCUUGAAUACAUUAGCAUGGAAUAAUGAAAUAGGACGUUCGAUCCUAUUUUGUUGGCUUCUAGGAUUGACGUAAUGAUUAAUAGGGGCAGUUGGGGGCAUUAGUAUUCAAUUGUCAGAGGUGAAAUUCUUGGAUUUAUUGAAGACUAACUACUGCGAAAGCAUUUGCCAAGGAUGUUUUCAUUAAUCAAGAACGAAAGUUAGGGGAUCGAAGACGAUCAGAUACCGUCGUAGUCUUAACCAUAAACUAUGCCGACUAGGGAUCGGAUGAUGUUAAUUUUUAAUGACUCAUUC